Molecule: non-coding RNA, 778 nt
Organism: Pelobates cultripes (western spadefoot toad)
Lineage: Eukaryota; Metazoa; Chordata; Amphibia; Anura; Pelobatidae
Source: the annotation of a GenBank genome assembly
UAAUAUAUAUUUUCUUUUUUCUCUUUUCUUUUUUUUCCAGGGUAUGGAUCGUCACUCUUUCAACAAAAAAGUUUGUUUCCUGUAUACGGUCUUGUGGGACUGGCUUAUAUCAUGAUCCUGGCUCUCUUUAUUAUAUUCUUUUCUAGGUGUUAGUAUUAAAUUGUAUCUGUAUAUUUAUGUUCACAAUUGUUAGAAUUCAAUUUUAUAUUUCUCAUAAAGCUUGGGAGUCUUAUGUUAAAUCUUUAUGAGGUUCCCUACCUCUACCACUUGUUUUAGUUCUGUUAUUAACAUUGUGACAUUGUGACCCUUACUCCGAGUACCCCUGCCUUCCUCACUACUAUCAGGGAUCUCCGGAGCAUCACUCUUUCCUCUUUUCCUGCUUCUCCAACAUCUGUUGAAUUUAUUUUCCUUUUCUUCCUCAAAGUUUACUUCACCUUCUUUUUCUCUCUCAUUCUUCUAACUUAUUUUGAUUUAUUGUUUGAAAGUGGGGGCAACUGUAAUAUAGUUUAUUAUUAUAAUUUUUUUUGUUAAUUUAUGCCAAAUUAAUAAUCACCAACCAAAUGCUACUCAUUUAUGUAUUGCAAUACAUGUAGUGCACAUAUGAGUUAAAGAGACACUGUAGGCACUAUGACUAUUUCAUCUCAUUGAAUUGGUUAUAUUGCCUGGAACCUCCUGGCACUGUCCCUCCGUUCAGUGUUAAACCAUUUUCGAGCAGUAUAACACUAAAUAAUAGUUCUUGGCCACCCACAACACAGCCCCAACUGGAGGUACGAGUAAG